AUCUCAUAAGGCUAAAUACUCUUACUAACCGAUAGCGCAUAGUACCGUGAGGGAAAGGUGAAAAGAACCCCUGGAGGGGAGUGAAAUAGAACCUGAAAUUGUGUGCUUACAAGCGGUCAGAGCCAGUAAUGGUGAUGGCGUGCCUUUUGGAGAAUGAUCCUGCGAGUUACGUUAAACGGCGAGGUUAAGUAUUACGGAGCCGAAGGGAAACCAAGUCUUAAUAGGGCGAUUUAGUCGUUUGGCGUAGACGCGAAACCUGGUGAUCUAAACCUGUCCAGGAUGAAGCUGUGGUAAGACACAGUGGAGGUCCUAACCCACCGCCGUUGAAAAGUUGGGGGAUGAGGUAGGUUUAGGGGUGAAAAGCCAAUCGAACCAGGAGAUAGCUCGUUCUCUCCGAAAUGCAUCUAGGUG
RNAcentral lists this ribosomal RNA (411 nucleotides) under Fusobacterium hwasookii ChDC F128. RNAcentral describes it as "bacterial LSU rRNA". It matches the Rfam family "Bacterial large subunit ribosomal RNA", at positions 455 to 876 of the family's 2925-position model. The record is from RNAcentral. Lineage: Bacteria; Fusobacteriati; Fusobacteriota; Fusobacteriia; Fusobacteriales; Fusobacteriaceae.